This is an RNA transcript of Brienomyrus brachyistius, 540 nucleotides long. It is a transcript of the gene named urease accessory protein UreE-like, with no coding region annotated. Lineage: Eukaryota; Metazoa; Chordata; Actinopteri; Osteoglossiformes; Mormyridae. The record is from RefSeq and is a predicted model, not a curated record. The transcript has 6 exons.
UUAAAACAUACAAAAACCGACCGGUCUCAUCGCAUCUCUUACCUGUCUCAAAACCGAAGGGUGGGGCCCAAACAUGCCGCCUCGCCCAUUCCUCCAGCCUAUAAAAGGAGUGAGACGCUAGCUUUGACAACAGAGCGAGUCGAGACUUAGAACCAGCUGUUUCUUUUCUGAUCCAGGUAGAUCGCAGAGGAGUUUAAAAUGAGUGACUCACAGAAGAAGUGCGAGAAAUCGCAUUGCCAUCAAGGCGAUGGCAAAGGGCAAGGCAAGGGACAGGGACACGGGAAGGAACACGGACACGGGAAGGGACACGGACACGGGAAGGAACACGAACAUGGACACGGGAAGGAACACGAACAUUGCCAUGACAAAGACCAGAGUCAUGGUCCCGAUGGCAAGGGAUGCGGCACCAAGGGCCAGUGUAAGAAGUGACACUGCACACACCAGCCGGAUUCACAGCACACUGGCCAAAUGGUGUGCUUCAAGCACUGCGAUGAUUGAAAUGUGUUACAAGUUAUAUCAAUAAAGUCAUUUUCAAACACA